This 234-nucleotide ribosomal RNA is filed under the name uncultured bacterium. Its description in RNAcentral is "partial 16S ribosomal RNA". It matches the Rfam family "Bacterial small subunit ribosomal RNA", at positions 96 to 334 of the family's 1533-position model. The record is from RNAcentral.
UGGCGGACGGGUGAGUAAUGUCUGGGAAACUGCCCGAUGGAGGGGGAUAACUACUGGAAACGGUAGCUAAUACCGCAUAACGUCGCAAGACCAAAGCGGGGGACCUCCGGGCCUCGCGCCAUCAGAUGAACCCAUAUGGGAUUAGCUAGUAGGUAAGGUAACGGCUUACCUAGGCGACGAUCCCUAGCUGGUCUGAGAGGAUGAUCAGCCACACUGGGACUGAGACACGGCCAG